This 240-nucleotide unclassified non-coding RNA is filed under the name soil metagenome. Its description in RNAcentral is "partial contains 5.8S ribosomal RNA, internal transcribed spacer 2, and large subunit ribosomal RNA". The record is from RNAcentral.
AACCAUAGAAACCUGCGGAGUACCUGCGGAGGGAUCAUUACAGAGUUGCAAAACUCCCUAAACCAUUGUGAACGUUACCUAAACCGUUGCUUCGGCGGGCGGCCCGGGUCCUUCCCGGCGCCCAUCGGCCCUCGCGGGCGCCCGCCGGAGGUAAACCAAACUAUUGCAUUGUAUGGCCUCUCUGAGUCUUCUGUACUGGAUAAGUCAAAACUUUCAACAACGGAUCUCAGAUCGGAAGAG